UACGGAGGGUGCAAGCGUUAGUCGGAAUUACUGGGCGUAAAGGGUGCGUAGGCGGGGAUGUAAGUCAGAUGUGAAAUACCGAAGCUCAACUUCGGCUGUGCAUCUGAAACUGCGUUUCUAGAGGAAGAGCGGAGAAAACGGAAUUCCACGUGUAGCGGUGAAAUGCGUAGAUAUGUGGAAGAACACCUGUGGCGAAAGCGGUUUUCUAGCUUAUACCUGACGCUGAUGCGCGAAAGUAAGGGGAUCAAACAGG
RNAcentral lists this ribosomal RNA (253 nucleotides) under uncultured bacterium. RNAcentral's name for it is "partial 16S ribosomal RNA". It matches the Rfam family "Bacterial small subunit ribosomal RNA", at positions 524 to 776 of the family's 1533-position model. The record is from RNAcentral.